Molecule: long non-coding RNA, 444 nt
Filed under: Bos taurus (domestic cattle)
Lineage: Eukaryota; Metazoa; Chordata; Mammalia; Artiodactyla; Bovidae
Description: long non-coding RNA NONBTAT007504
Source: RNAcentral
AAGGGAGGAUUUUCCCAAGAAAAGCUUUAUUCUAAUCAUAUACUUGGUAAGGUGAAUUUGGGAAGAUAUGGCUUCUAUUUUACCAAUGUCAGCUUUUAUUAAGAUGUUGUGUGUUAGACAUAGUGAAAAAAUUUUAAUUUAGUCCUUGUCUUUGGGGAGCUGGGAAAGCAGUGUGGUAAAGAGGGAAAGGUGACCUUGGUAGUCCACAUACCUGGCCUUAAAUGCCAACUUUAGAAUUAUCCAGACAUCUCAACCUCAGUUUCACCAGGUUGGUGGAAGACCUAUCAAGCCUCAGGAAUGCUCAAGAAGUAGUCUUUGUCUCGUUAGAAAUGAUACUUAUUUGUCUAGUUAUAAAUGUGGAUAGUUUUGUAGUUUAAAAGAUUUACUUAGGAAUGUGUGAGGAAAGGUAAACUUGUUCUACAUAGAGCAAGACACGUCACAACU